Molecule: ribosomal RNA, 67 nt
Filed under: uncultured Clavariaceae
Lineage: Eukaryota; Fungi; Basidiomycota; Agaricomycetes; Agaricales; Clavariaceae
Description: partial 5.8S ribosomal RNA
Rfam family: 5.8S ribosomal RNA
About the family: 5.8S ribosomal RNA (5.8S rRNA) is a component of the large subunit of the eukaryotic ribosome. It is transcribed by RNA polymerase I as part of the 45S precursor that also contains 18S and 28S rRNA.
Source: RNAcentral
CGAAUUGCGAUAUGUAAUGUGAAUUGCAGAAUUCAGUGAAUCAUCGAGUCUUUGAACGCACAUUGCA